AUGGGUUUCAAUCUAGCUUUGUUAGCCAAACAAGCGUGGCGUCCGCUUGAUAAUCCGGAGUCCUUAUGUGCUUCUAUCUUGAGAGCUAAAUACUUCCCGGAAGGUGAUUUAAUGAAUGCAAGCCUAAAAAAGGGUUUCUCUUUUACUUGGCAAAGUAUUGUGGCGGGAGUGAAUUCUCUAACAAAUGGUUACAUUAGCGAGUUGGAAAUGGACAAAAUAUUGAUAUUUGAAGAGAUGCAUGGAUCCCGAAUUGUGCGACUAGGAAAAUCAUUACUCCUGGAAUGGGGCAUCUUCUGUCAAAGGUUUCUAAUCUUAUUAAUCCAGUCACGAGUUCUUGGGAUGAAGAUUUGGUAA
Molecule: ribosomal RNA, 354 nt
Filed under: Triticum aestivum (bread wheat)
Lineage: Eukaryota; Viridiplantae; Streptophyta; Magnoliopsida; Poales; Poaceae
Description: partial small subunit ribosomal RNA
Source: RNAcentral